Chiloscyllium plagiosum (whitespotted bambooshark) is the source of this 1270-nucleotide non-coding RNA. NCBI's taxonomy places the organism in Eukaryota, Metazoa, Chordata, Chondrichthyes, Orectolobiformes, Hemiscylliidae. The record is from RefSeq and is a predicted model, not a curated record.
GAAGUUUCCUAUGAAUUUUGUACUGCAUCAGAUUUACUUGUCUUUAUUAUUUUAUGUCUUUUAUCCCUGGUUUUGGAUUCCCCCAUAAGCAGAAUUACUUUUUCAACUUCUACCUUAUCCAAACCCUCCGUUGUUCUGUAGACAGCUAUCAGAUCAGCCUUCAGCCUUUUCCAGAGAAAAGAUGAUCUCGCAGUCCAGUUUUUCCUGAUGAUUUUUACAUGAUAUUCUUUUUGUAAAGCUGCUUUUACAGCUACUCCAAUACCUCUAUAUUCUUUUACAAUACGGAACCCGGAAACGUGCACAAUAUUCCAAGUGUGGUUGAAUGAGCAUGCUACACACAUUUAGCAUAACUUCUUUGCUUUUCAGUACUCAAAGUGCUUUCUUUGUUUGUUCUUUUUAUGGCCUCGUAAACCUGUGUUGUUAUUCUUAAUGAACUGGACCCAGUAACGAGUCAAGUCUGAACUAAAGCGACUGGGAAAAAACACUGCAUUACUCUUUAUGCAUUUCUUCAUUUAAUGCUGCAGAUAUUACUACAAUAGUUCUUAAAGGGUUAAUAGCAUUAAAUUUAACAUGAUUCAAUGCUAUUUGCAUAAUCCUGACCUCCAACCUUUCAGUUAAAACAAAAUUGCUGCGUCACUGUUGAUAUUUAUUUGCUAAUCUGUAACUAAUGGCAGAUACGACAAAAAAAACUCCCACUACAUUCAGGAAGCUCGUGAUCACUGAUGACCAGCAUUUCAAUACAUAUUAUAUAAAUAGAUAUAACAAAGAAAGUACAUUGCCAAGUAUAAAAAGAAAAGCCUAGAAAAAUUAAAAAUCAGGUUCCUCAGCAUCUGGAAAGAAAAAUACAAGCAUAUGUUGCACAGAAGUGCUGAGAUGUUAACUGAUGUGCCGGAUGUUGAGUUUCGUGAAAAGAAAGUAUCAAAAUGGAAGACUGAAUUUAAAAAAAUAUUCAUUCACAGGAUUACCCAUAUCUAGUUGCCCUUCAGAAGGUGCUAGUGUGCGGUUUUCUUGAGCUGUUGCAGUCCAUGCACUGUAUGUAGACCCUCAGUGCUGUUAGGGAGUGUGUUCUGGGACUUGGAGCCAGUAACACUGAAAGAACAGUGAUAUGUUUUCAAGUCAAGAUAGUGAGCAGCUCAGAGGGGAACUUGCAGGAGUGGUGGCCCUAUGUAUCUGUGCCCGUCAGUCUCGGUGGUCGUGGCCAUGGGUUUGGAAGUUGCUGCAUAAGGAAUCUUGACAGAAUGCUCUCGAUGGCACACCUAUAAAAGUUCGC